AUGGCGAUCACCCUCACGCAGUACGAGCGCCACCUCAGCCUCCAGUGCCACAAGAUCGUCGGCAUUGAUCUCGAGUACAACAAUGUGCCUGAAGCGACGUGCACCAUCUUUGACAACUUCCUCGCCGACCCCAGGUACACCUUUGCAGGCUUCUCCAUCGACAACGACAAAACCAGGCUAGAGCGCGUCAAUCUGGAGGUCGCCAACUUCGUCGACAUCCAGAAGGAGUGGAGGGUGCCCGAGGCAACCAAGGAGUUGGACUCCCUUGGAGACGUCUCCGGCAUGCUCAUCGACGACUACUACAACCACAUGAAGAAGAAGAUCACCGACGACAAGCACAAGCGCUGGUCCACCCUGCCUCUAUCCAUGAGGAACAUCGAGUACGCGGCAAAGGACGCCUACGCAGCGUACGAGAUAUGGAACCGCAUCACCCUCACCCAGGACGGGCUUUGCCGUGCACAGCUGGAGAAGGAGGAGCCCCCCAAGAAGCACGCUAGGAGCAGCUAG
This 507-nucleotide ribosomal RNA is filed under the name Triticum aestivum (bread wheat). Its description in RNAcentral is "partial small subunit ribosomal RNA". The record is from RNAcentral. Lineage: Eukaryota; Viridiplantae; Streptophyta; Magnoliopsida; Poales; Poaceae.